Molecule: non-coding RNA, 45 nt
Filed under: Schistosoma curassoni
Lineage: Eukaryota; Metazoa; Platyhelminthes; Trematoda; Strigeidida; Schistosomatidae
Source: RNAcentral
ACCCAGCUGAAGAGUCCUUAAUAGGACGAAACGCGUGUCUGGAAU